UUUCUUCUUCCUCUUCUG
Molecule: small RNA, 18 nt
Filed under: Arabidopsis thaliana (thale cress)
Lineage: Eukaryota; Viridiplantae; Streptophyta; Magnoliopsida; Brassicales; Brassicaceae
Description: ATSL260050
Source: RNAcentral